GAUGAACGCUGACAGAAUGCUUAACACAUGCAAGUCUACUUGAAUUUGGGUUUUUUAACUUAGAUUUGGGUGGCGGACGGGUGAGUAACGCGUAAAGAACUUGCCUCACAGCUAGGGACAGCAUUUGGAAACGAAUGCUAAUACCUGAUAUUAUGAUUAUAAGGCAUCUUAGAAUUAUGAAAGCUAUAUGCGCUGUGAGAGAGCUUUGCGUCCCAUUAGCUAGUUGGAGAGGUAACGGCUCACCAAGGCGAUGAUGGGUAGCCGGCCUGAGAGGGUGAACGGCCACAAGGGGACUGAGACACGGCCCUUACUCCUACGGGAGGCAGCAGUGGGGAAUAUUGGACAAUGGACCAAGAGUCUGAUCCAGCAAUUCUGUGUGCACGAUGACGUUUUUCGGAAUGUAAAGUGCUUUCAGUUGGGAAGAAAAAAAUGACGGUACCAACAGAAGAAGUGACGGCUAAAUACGUG
RNAcentral lists this ribosomal RNA (468 nucleotides) under uncultured bacterium. Its description in RNAcentral is "partial 16S ribosomal RNA". It matches the Rfam family "Bacterial small subunit ribosomal RNA", at positions 28 to 507 of the family's 1533-position model. The record is from RNAcentral.